UCUUGAGCAUUAUGUGCUGCGAAGUCGAUGUUCUUCUCUCUCAACUUCUUUAAUAGCUCCUGGCUGAGCCCUGGGAGUUGGACACGCACUCUCUGCACCCGAUUACCAAGCUCAGGUGAAAUAGCUUCUACGAUUGCAAUUGUUCCAUUCUCAAACAAAUCCACUCUCUGUACCCUGUCCUUGUCCAAAUACUCGAGAAACCGUGAGUAUGACAUUCUUGACGAAGACACACCUUGGUCGUCACCGUCGGCUAGCGCAUUUUUCGUACCGACAACCGCCGGCAAAGCGAGUCCCACAUUUCCAGCAAGCAGUUUUAAAAAACCCCUUCUUCCCGACAGCUGCUUCUGGUCCAAAGAGGCGGUAGGGGAGACAGAUCUAGACACUACACCGAGUAAAGAUAGACCUGAGGACGGAGUUAGGUGUGUACCAUAAAAUUCUUUGGUGAGACAGGGUUUACUACAGCGCACAGGCACACCCGUGGCGAGGCUUAUGGAAGUAGACACCAUUUGGGCUUGCUUGGAG
RNAcentral lists this unclassified non-coding RNA (522 nucleotides) under Hevea brasiliensis (rubber tree). Lineage: Eukaryota; Viridiplantae; Streptophyta; Magnoliopsida; Malpighiales; Euphorbiaceae. The record is from RNAcentral.